CUGCCAAGUGAACGCACAGCGGAAGGUGCUCUGCACCUACUAGUGAGUGGCGAACGGGUGAGUAACACGUGGACAACCUGCCUCAAGGCUGGGGAUAACAUUUGGAAACAGAUGCUAAUACCGAAUAAAACUUAGUGUCGCAUGACACAAAGUUAAAAGGCGCUUCGGCGUCACCUAAAGAUGGAUCCGCGGUGCAUUAGUUAGUUGGUGGGGUAAAGGCCUACCAAGACAAUGAUGCAUAGCCGAGUUGAGAGACUGAUCGGCCACAUUGGGACUGAGACACGGCCCAAACUCCUACGGGAGGCUGCAGUAGGGAAUCUUCCACAAUGGGCGAAAGCCUGAUGGAGCAACGCCGCGUGUGUGAUGAAGGCUUUCGGGUCGUAAAGCACUGUUGUAUGGGAAGAACAGCUAGAAUAGGAAAUGAUUUUAGUUUGACGGUACCAUACCAGAAAGGGACGGCUAAAUACGUGCCAGCAGCCGCGGUAAUACGUAUGUCCCGAGCGUUAUCCGGAUUUAUUGGGCGUAAAGCGAGCGCAGACGGUUUAUUAAGUCUGAUGUGAAAGCCCGGAGCUCAACUCCGGAAUGGCAUUGGAAACUGGUUAACUUGAGUGCAGUAGAGGUAAGUGGAACUCCAUGUGUAGCGGUGGAAUGCGUAGAUAUAUGGAAGAACACCAGUGGCGAAGGCGGCUUACUGGACUGCAACUGACGUUGAGGCUCGAAAGUGUGGGUAGCAAACAGGAUUAGAUACCCUGGUAGUCCACACCGUAAACGAUGAACACUAGGUGUUAGGAGGUUUCCGCCUCUUAGUGCCGAAGCUAACGCAUUAAGUGUUCCGCCUGGGGAGUACGACCGCAAGGUUGAAACUCAAAGGAAUUGACGGGGACCCGCACAAGCGGUGGAGCAUGUGGUUUAAUUCGAAGCACGCGAAGAACCUUACCAGGUCUUGACAUCCUUUGAAUUUAGAUAGAAUUUCUUCGA
Molecule: ribosomal RNA, 978 nt
Filed under: Leuconostoc mesenteroides
Lineage: Bacteria; Bacillati; Bacillota; Bacilli; Lactobacillales; Lactobacillaceae
Description: bacterial SSU rRNA
Rfam family: Bacterial small subunit ribosomal RNA
Source: RNAcentral